GAUGAACGCUGGCGGCGUGCCUAAUACAUGCAAGUCGAGCGAACGGACGAGAAGCUUGCUUCUCUGAUGUUAGCGGCGGGCGGGUGAGUAACACGUGGAUAACCUACCUAUAAGACUGGGAUAACUUCGGGAAACCGGAGCUAAUACCGGAUAAUAUUUUGAACCGCAUGGUUCAAAAGUGAAAGACGGUCUUGCUGUCACUUAUAGAUGGAUCCGCGCUGCAUUAGCUAGUUGGUAAGGUAACGGCUUACCAAGGCAACGAUGCAUAGCCGACCUGAGAGGGUGAUCGGCCACACUGGAACUGAGACACGGUCCAGACGCAUACGGGAGGCAGCAGUAGGGAAUCUUCCGCAAUGGGAGAAAGCCUGACGGAGCAACGCCGCGUGAGUGAUGAAGGGCUUCGGAUCGUAAAACUCUGUUAUUAGGGAAGAACAUAUGUGUAAGUAACUGUGCACAUCUUGACGGUACCUAAUCAGAAAGCCACGGCUAACUACGU
Molecule: ribosomal RNA, 496 nt
Filed under: uncultured bacterium
Lineage: Bacteria
Description: partial 16S ribosomal RNA
Rfam family: Bacterial small subunit ribosomal RNA
Source: RNAcentral